CGUUAUGGCGGCUGUGCGUGGGAGACCUUCGGGUCUACCGGGUUCUAGAGUCCCGGUCUGCGACCCGCGUACAGCUGCCACCCUU
This 85-nucleotide non-coding RNA is filed under the name Pseudomonas sp. IT-196MI5. Lineage: Bacteria; Pseudomonadati; Pseudomonadota; Gammaproteobacteria; Pseudomonadales; Pseudomonadaceae. The record is from RNAcentral.